RNAcentral lists this long non-coding RNA (645 nucleotides) under Anas platyrhynchos platyrhynchos (common mallard). RNAcentral describes it as "lncRNA (ENSAPLG00000016705.1)". The record is from RNAcentral. Lineage: Eukaryota; Metazoa; Chordata; Aves; Anseriformes; Anatidae.
UGUGUGUGGUAAACAUGCUUCUUUUUCUUUAUUUAUUUGUUUUUAUUAUUAUUGUAGGAAUGUUUUUGCAGUUGAGAUUUUGGGAUUGCCUUUUCUCUGGGACUGAGUUCAAAUGCAACCACGGAGCUGAAACAGUGCAUCAGUUCCCACUAGUACUGCAGACAUAAGAAUUCAGAAUAACACUUCUACGCCUACAAAUACAUAACAACGGAGUUUGGGGUCAACUACAGAACCAAAAGGAAAACACCACUGAUGGGAUCCUUCACAGCUGAAUUUAGUCGGCUGCAACAUGGACACUGGCAGCUCAUUUGUUCCUUGCUUAUACCAACAUGGAUGUCAUUUUCAAGCUAUGCAGUCGGAUAGUCUGGCAAGAAACUGGACAGAAUUACCUCUUUGUUAGCUCUUUUAACAGAACUUCUAGUGUUUCUGGGGAUUUCUUCAUUUGUAAACCUCUGUUGGUGACAGAAACCUUUAGUCACUUGGGAUCUCAUCUGCCUAAACCGGUGCUGAGAGAAGCAUGAUGAAAGAUGGAGAGCCAGACACCAUAUCAGAAGUCACCUGAUAAGAGCUGGCAGUGGAUUUGAUGAAAGUUUGUGAACCUGGAAAUAUUUUGAAUAAAACAUUUCAAGUAAGCUGAAAUUAACA